Long non-coding RNA from Felis catus (domestic cat), 2253 nucleotides. RefSeq lists it as uncharacterized. The record is from RefSeq and is a predicted model, not a curated record. The transcript is spliced from 2 exons. NCBI's taxonomy places the organism in Eukaryota, Metazoa, Chordata, Mammalia, Carnivora, Felidae.
GGGGUGCGUUUCUUUUGCAUGACUGUGACCUGUUGUUCUUGCCUUUCUUUUGUAAAUACCUAUAAAUGCAGAGUUGGAGGCGCCGAAUCCACCUUCUGCCAUUUGUACCUGCAGGACAAGGAGGUGCGGUCCCUCUCCGUGAACCCCUCUCCCACCCCUCCCUGCCCGUCAAGCCUAGCCCCUUCCCCCUGCCCCGCUAGCUGGCUGGUCCCCAGAGCCAGCCAUCUUGGCCCCUGGAUGGUGUUGGGUUUGGGCGCAGAGGUGGGACCCCAAGGGGCAGGAUGAGGACCGUCCCCACCCCCACCCCCGUGGUCCCUCCAGGUCCCCGGGGUCCGGCCCAGAUUGACAAUGGAGUUUGUAACUAUAUAUUUUUAAUAAAGUAUAUGGUCCACUAGGGGUAGGCUGGCUGGAGACGGAAAGCUGGGAAGAAGAGUUAGAGAAAGAGAGACCGAAAUGAUGUGAGUGUGUCUGUGUGUGGUACGCGUGUCCCUUUCUGAGACACUGACCCCUGGAGGGAACUGUAUCACCCGCCAUUCUCCUUCCUGGGAGCCAAUGGGAAAGAUCCCGAGAGGGCUUCAGAGGACCUGGGCUUGGGUCGGAGCUUCGCUGCCUCCUAGCUGUGCGGCGGCUAGCCAGUUACCCGGAUGCUCUUGGCCUCGGUUUCAUCAUCUGCAGCAUGGGACGAACCAUCGCUCCCUCCCAAGAGAUGACGGGCAGGAAAGCCCUGUGUGGAUGUCAGCUAACCCUUUGCAGCUCGGGGAAGAGCCUGCAUCUACACAGCGCACACACACGCACACACCCCAGGCUGGGCUGGUGAAUUUGGCCUCGGGACCCUGGUGGGAAGGGCUCUAGGGGGCGGCUGGGAAACCCGGUCUUAGUCCGACUCAGUCUCUGUCUCACUGUGGGUGGGACCUUGGGUAAGUUCCUGCCUUUCUCCGGGCCUCAGUUAGCCUGAGCUCUACAGCGAGCCACCCCUCAAACCUAGACGACGGUGCUUUAUUCUUUCUCGAGGUUCUGCGGGUGGGCUGGGUGCUGCCUUGUCUGGUUUCUCUGGGCUCCCUCCAGCAGCAGGGCUCAGCUGGAGCGCCACCUAGGCGGCCAGGCCCAAGCGGGCUGUCCCCCCACGUCAGGUGGUUGGUCUGGCUGUUAGCUGGGGCCUCUCUUCCUCCAGAUUCCUUCAUGGCCUCUCAGGACAGCAACCUAAGACGGUGAAGGCAGGAGCUACCAGGUCUCUGGGGCCUAGCCUUGAACUUGGAUAACAUUUCUACCCCCUUCUAUCGGCCAGUCGGGUCACGAGGCCAACCCAGAGCCGAAGGAUGGGAAAUCGGGCUCCAGCUUUCGGGGGAGCGCGGUGACGUCGCACGGCCAAGGGUGGGACUGUGGCCGUACUUGGUAGUCUAUCACAGAACCUUUCAGUUUGAGCGUUCCUUCCAGCCCUGCCUCUAAGCUACAUGCCAACUGUAUACCCACGGCGUAUAAGGAGGCAGAGGGACCCUCCCUGUUCCCAGGAAUCUUCUGGGUCAGGGUGCCCCCACCUCCGGAAACACAAGGAACCAGCAGGCAAGGUCACCUACUGCGAAGUGCGAUGAGCUCCCUCGUGAACGAUCGCCUCCCACCAGCGCUGGCAACAUGGGUGCCAUUUGGGUAAAACGCUGUGCGCCCCACGUGCUUGAACAGCUUAACAAGCCAACCCGGGAUCCGAGCCCCUCAACAGAUCACUGGUCCUAAUGCCUCCCAUUAACAUGACACCCUUCACAUUCCUUCGUCCGCUGAAUCCUUACCAAAUAUCAGGAGGCAGGGAAGUAAGGCUUGUGGUCUCACUUUACACGUGAGGAAAUGGAGGCCGAGGAACUAAGGCGCUGGCCUGAACCCAGAUUGCUUGCCUUCUCUGCUCACGUGCCUGCCACGGUGGCUCUUCGGACUUCACUUACGAAGCACAAGUUCAAGGAGAAAAUUAAGACUUUUAAGACAGAGACUACGGGGGUUAAACCGAGCUCAGGUCCCUCCCGUGAAGCCGGCCUUCAGAUGAGCUCUGCUGAGCGAACCCGCCCCUGCGGGAUCACCGUGAACGUGAACGCCAGCUUUUCUCCACGAGAAAAGCUCCGACCGACAGCUUUUUGUUAUGUUGUUUCUUGUUUGCCUUCAUGUGGUUGUUUGCUCAGGCUGCGUAUGAACAGGAUUCUGGGCUACAUUGGCCAGAUUGUGUCAAAGUGCAACCCCAGCGUCUCAAUCUUUCCACAAGGGCAGUACAAA